This 358-nucleotide unclassified non-coding RNA is filed under the name uncultured Chloroflexales bacterium. Its description in RNAcentral is "contains 16S-23S intergenic spacer region". The record is from RNAcentral. Lineage: Bacteria; Bacillati; Chloroflexota; Chloroflexia; Chloroflexales.
UCCCCGAAGGGCAGUCUCGCCAGACACAAGUAACUGGCGAUGAGGGUUGCGCUCGUUGCGGGACUUAACCCAACAUCUCACGACACGAGCUGACGACAGCCAUGCAGCACCUGUGGAGCACCCUCGAAGGCGACCGGCUUUCACCGGCUUGCAGCUCCAUGUCAAAUCUGGGUAAGGUUGUGCGCGUUGCGUCGAAUUAAACCACACGCUCCGCUGCUUGUGCGGGUCCCCGUCAAUUCCUUUGAGUUUUAAGCUUGCGCUCGUACUUCCCAGGCGGGAUGCUUCCGCGUUAGCUGAGCCCCGCAGCGGCGUUAAGACCGCCACAGGACGAGCAUCCAUCGUUUACGGCGUGGACUAC